GGACCCGUAGCAUAAUUGGAUAAUGCAACACACUUCUAAUGUGUAGAGUCUAGGUUCGAGUCCUAGCGGGUUCA
RNAcentral lists this transfer RNA (74 nucleotides) under bacterium. Its description in RNAcentral is "tRNA-Arg". It matches the Rfam family "tRNA". From Rfam's summary of the family: Transfer RNA (tRNA) molecules are approximately 80 nucleotides in length. Their secondary structure includes four short double-helical elements and three loops (D, anti-codon, and T loops). The record is from RNAcentral.